Molecule: ribosomal RNA, 315 nt
Filed under: Triticum aestivum (bread wheat)
Lineage: Eukaryota; Viridiplantae; Streptophyta; Magnoliopsida; Poales; Poaceae
Description: partial small subunit ribosomal RNA
Source: RNAcentral
AUGGUUAACCAGAAACCGAAGGAAAUAAAUCAACCAAAAAACCUCAUUAUGCAUUGCAACUCACAAAUGACCACUUCAAAGAACAUGCAAGUAUCUAUGUCAUUAACAAUUGCAAACAUAAGUUUCUUUUUACUACAGUUGUUGUAUGUACUAUCACACAGUUCCUCAUUCUGUUCUCACUCAAUAAUAAGAAAAAUGAAAAGAAAAGAUAGAGAUAAUCUGCCGCAAUUGCACUUCGGUGUCAUGGAUUCAAUCUGCCGCUUCAACAUCUCAUUAUCCGGCAGCACUCUGUCGCUAUCUUCUACCUAUGAAUAA